GGAUGCGAUCAUACCAGCACUAAAGCACCGGAUCCCAUCAGAACUCCGAAGUUAAGCGUGCAUGGGCGAGAGUAGUACUAGGAUGGGUGACCUCCUGAAAGUCCUCGUGUUGCAUUCC
This 118-nucleotide ribosomal RNA is filed under the name Triticum aestivum (bread wheat). The record is from RNAcentral. Lineage: Eukaryota; Viridiplantae; Streptophyta; Magnoliopsida; Poales; Poaceae.